RNAcentral lists this unclassified non-coding RNA (258 nucleotides) under Phaeosaccardinula dendrocalami. RNAcentral's name for it is "partial contains 5.8S ribosomal RNA, internal transcribed spacer 2, and large subunit ribosomal RNA". Lineage: Eukaryota; Fungi; Ascomycota; Eurotiomycetes; Chaetothyriales; Chaetothyriaceae. The record is from RNAcentral.
CGCACAUUGCGCCUUCAUUUAUCAAUGGAGGCAUGCCUGUUCGAGCGUCAGUACAACCUUCAAAACUUGAAUAAGUUUUGGUAUUGGGCAGUGUCUAGUAAGAUAUGCUUCAAAACUGCCGGCGGUCGUUUAUGGCUCCGGGCGUGGUAGAAUACACUUUUCGCCUUGGAAUUAUGAAUCGAUUAGCCUAACCCGGCUCUCGCUGGGAACAUUUUCUAGUUCGACCUCGAAUCAGACAGGGAUACCCGCUGAACUUAA